Molecule: long non-coding RNA, 245 nt
Filed under: Ananas comosus (pineapple)
Lineage: Eukaryota; Viridiplantae; Streptophyta; Magnoliopsida; Poales; Bromeliaceae
Description: long non-coding RNA (ACOM_LNC034519)
Source: RNAcentral
UGAUGUGCAGAUAAUAAUAAUUAUUAUUAUUUUUUUUUCGACAAGAGAUCGAGUUCGCGCCUCGGCCGCAACGUACAUAAUGGGUCCCUUGGGCUGCGUUUGGUUGGAGGGAUAUCCCAGAACAAGGCGGGAUAUCCCUCCAAACACAAUGCAUUUUGGAACAACCGGGUUGUUCCCGGAACAACCCGUUAAGCCGGGAACAACCCGGUAAGCUUGUUCUCCCUAAAAGGGAGAACAAGCCGGAA